AGGGAAUCUUCCGCAAUGGACGAGAGUCUGACGGAGCAACGCCGCGUGAGUGAUGAAGGUUUUCGGAUCGUAAAACUCUGUUGUUAGGGAAGAACAAGUAUCGUUCGAAUAGGGCGGUACCUUGACGGUACCUAACCAGAAAGCCACGGCUAACUACGUGCCAGCAGCCGCGGUAAUACGUAGGUGGCAAGCGUUGUCCGGAAUUAUUGGGCGUAAAGCGCGCGCAGGCGGUUUCUUAAGUCUGAUGUGAAAGCCCACGGCUCAACCGUGGAGGGUCAUUGGAAACUGGGAGACUUGAGUGCAGAAGAGGAGAGUGGAAUUCCACGUGUAGCGGUGAAAUGCGUAGAGAUGUGGAGGAACACCAGUGGCGAAGGCGACUCUCUGGUCUGUAACUGACGCUGAGGCGCGAAAGCGUGGGGAGCGAAC
Molecule: ribosomal RNA, 426 nt
Filed under: uncultured bacterium
Lineage: Bacteria
Description: bacterial SSU rRNA
Rfam family: Bacterial small subunit ribosomal RNA
Source: RNAcentral